GAUGAACGCUAGCGGCAGGCCUAAUACAUGCAAGUCGAACGGGUCGCAAGACCAGUGGCAAACGGGUGCGUAACGCGUAGGCAACCUGCCUCAUACUGGGGGAUAGCCCGGCGAAAGCUGGGGUAAACCCGCACGGUCCCAAAGAGUCACCUGGUUUUUUGGGUAAACAUUUAUGGGUAUGAGAGGGGCUUGCGUCUGAUUAGUUAGUUGGCAGGGUAACGGCCUACCAAGACGAUGAUCAGAGGGGUUCUGAGAGGAUUGGCCCCCACAUGGGUACUGAGAUACGGACCCAACUCCUACGGGAGGCAGCAGUAGGGAAUAUUGGGCAAUGGAGGCAACUCUGACCCAGCCAUGCCGCGUGCAGGAUGAAGGCGCUCAGCGUUU
Molecule: ribosomal RNA, 384 nt
Filed under: uncultured bacterium
Lineage: Bacteria
Description: bacterial SSU rRNA
Rfam family: Bacterial small subunit ribosomal RNA
Source: RNAcentral